GCACUGCUGAGGAGUCCCAUACUAAGACGAAAUGGCCAUCCUGUGC
Molecule: non-coding RNA, 46 nt
Organism: Schistosoma haematobium
Lineage: Eukaryota; Metazoa; Platyhelminthes; Trematoda; Strigeidida; Schistosomatidae
Source: Rfam